This 68-nucleotide transfer RNA is filed under the name Lycaena phlaeas (common copper). Its description in RNAcentral is "tRNA-Asp". Lineage: Eukaryota; Metazoa; Arthropoda; Insecta; Lepidoptera; Lycaenidae. The record is from RNAcentral.
AAAGAAUUAGUUAAAAAAUAACAUAAAUAUGUCAAAUUUAAAUUAUUAUUAUUACAUAAUAUUCUUUU